Molecule: ribosomal RNA, 584 nt
Filed under: Priestia megaterium
Lineage: Bacteria; Bacillati; Bacillota; Bacilli; Caryophanales; Bacillaceae
Description: bacterial SSU rRNA
Rfam family: Bacterial small subunit ribosomal RNA
Source: RNAcentral
GAUCUUCUCCUUCAUGGGAGAUGAUUGAAAGAUGGUUUCGGCUAUCACUUACAGAUGGGCCCGCGGUGCAUUAGCUAGUUGGUGAGGUAACGGCUCACCAAGGCAACGAUGCAUAGCCGACCUGAGAGGGUGAUCGGCCACACUGGGACUGAGACACGGCCCAGACUCCUACGGGAGGCAGCAGUAGGGAAUCUUCCGCAAUGGACGAAAGUCUGACGGAGCAACGCCGCGUGAGUGAUGAAGGCUUUCGGGUCGUAAAACUCUGUUGUUAGGGAAGAACAAGUACAAGAGUAACUGCUUGUACCUUGACGGUACCUAACCAGAAAGCCACGGCUAACUACGUGCCAGCAGCCGCGGUAAUACGUAGGUGGCAAGCGUUAUCCGGAAUUAUUGGGCGUAAAGCGCGCGCAGGCGGUUUCUUAAGUCUGAUGUGAAAGCCCACGGCUCAACCGUGGAGGGUCAUUGGAAACUGGGGAACUUGAGUGCAGAAGAGAAAAGCGGAAUUCCACGUGUAGCGGUGAAAUGCGUAGAGAUGUGGAGGAACACCAGUGGCGAAAGCGGCUUUUUGGUCUGUAACUGACGCU